GAUGAACGCUGGCGGCGUGCCUAAUACAUGCAAGUCGAGCGAACAGACGAGGAGCUUGCUCCUCUGACGUUAGCGGCGGACGGGUGAGUAACACGUGAAUAACCUACCUAUAAGACUGGGAUAACUUCGGGAAACCGGAGCUAAUACCGGAUAAUAUAUUGAACCGCAUGGUUCAAUAGUGAAAGACGGUUUUGCUGUCACUUAUAGAUGGAUCCGCGCCGCAUUAGCUAGUUGGUAAGGUAACGGCUUACCAAGGCAACGAUGCGUAGCCGACCUGAGAGGGUGAUCGGCCACACGGGAACGGAGACAGGGUCCAGACUCCUACGGGAGGCAGCAGUAGGGAAUCUUCCGCAAAGGGCGAAAGCCUGACGGAGCAACGCCGCGUGAGUGAUGAAGGUCUUCGGAUCGUAAAACUCUGUUAUUAGGGAAGAACAAAUGUGUAAGUAACUAUGCACGUCUUGACGGUACCUAAUCAGAAAGCCACGGCUAACUACGUG
RNAcentral lists this ribosomal RNA (497 nucleotides) under uncultured bacterium. RNAcentral describes it as "partial 16S ribosomal RNA". It matches the Rfam family "Bacterial small subunit ribosomal RNA", at positions 28 to 507 of the family's 1533-position model. The record is from RNAcentral.